Molecule: ribosomal RNA, 520 nt
Filed under: uncultured bacterium
Lineage: Bacteria
Description: bacterial SSU rRNA
Rfam family: Bacterial small subunit ribosomal RNA
Source: RNAcentral
GGGAAUCUGCCCUUUGGUCUGGGAUAACUGUUGGAAACGACAGCUAAUACCGGAUGAUGACGUAAGUCCAAAGAUUUAUCGCCAGAGGAUGAGCCCGCGUCGGAUUAGCUAGUUGGUGGGGUAAGGGCCUACCAAGGCGACGAUCCGUAGCUGGUCUGAGAGGAUGAUCAGCCACACUGGGACUGAGACACGGCCCAGACUCCUACGGGAGGCAGCAGUGGGGAAUAUUGGACAAUGGGCGAAAGCCUGAUCCAGCAAUGCCGCGUGAGUGAUGAAGGCCUUAGGGUUGUAAAGCUCUUUUACCCGGGAUGAUAAUGACAGUACCGGGAGAAUAAGCUCCGGCUAACUCCGUGCCAGCAGCCGCGGUAAUACGGAGGGAGCUAGCGUUGUUCGGAAUUACUGGGCGUAAAGCGCACGUAGGCGGCUUUGUAAGUUAGAGGUGAAAGCCUGGAGCUCAACUCCAGAACUGCCUUUGAUACUGCAUGGCUUGAAUCCAGGAGAGGUGAGUGGAAUUCCGAGU